This is a non-coding RNA of Rattus norvegicus (Norway rat), 69 nucleotides long. Lineage: Eukaryota; Metazoa; Chordata; Mammalia; Rodentia; Muridae. The record is from Rfam.
GGGGAUUUGGCUCAGUGGCAGAGCGCUUGCCUAGGAAGCGCAAGGCCCUGGGUUCGGUUCCCAGCUCCG